CCCUUAGAUGUUCUGGGCCGCACACGCGCUACACUGAAGGAGGCAGCGUGUACUCCUGGAUCGAAAGAUUUGGGUAACCCGCGAAUCUCCUUCGUGCUAGGGAUUGAGGUUUGCAAUUAUCCUUCAUGAACGAGGAAUUCCCAGUAAGUGCAAGCCAUAAGCUUGCGCUGACUACGUCCCUGCCCUUUGUACACACCGCCCGUCGCUACUACCGAUUGAAUGAUUUAGUGAGGACUUCGGACUGGGACCGAUGCGGCUUUCGGGCUGCGUCGGUAUUCUGGAAAGAUGUCCAAACUGUAUCAUUUAGAGGAAGUAAAANUCGUAACA
RNAcentral lists this ribosomal RNA (327 nucleotides) under uncultured eukaryote. Its description in RNAcentral is "partial 18S ribosomal RNA". It matches the Rfam family "Eukaryotic small subunit ribosomal RNA", at positions 1470 to 1796 of the family's 1831-position model. The record is from RNAcentral.